UGUGCCAGCAGCUGCGGUUAUACUUUUAAAUAAAAUUACACUUUACCGUGCCUAAAAAUAGAUUUUGUUUCUGUUAAAAGGACGUAGAAAUCUAUUAUUCAAAAUUUGAAACUAAUUGACAAAACCGGGAUAGAAUCCGGGUAUGCGCCGUCACUAGGUAAUUAAAUAAACCUAAAUUAUAUGGCAGUGAUUUAUUCUAAUUAGAGAAUUUUGGCCCCUAACUUGACAGUCCUCAAUGUUAUUUACUACUUUUUAGUUUAAGUGUGGUUGUCAAGAAAUAAAUUUCAAUUUAAAUUUUAACCAAAUGACAUCUAGCUUAAAAUAGGGAGGCUGGAAUGCUGUAACUUCAAUUAAUGAAUAAUAGGAUUUAAAAGUAGGUUUAAUUAAUAUCGAAACAGUUAUAAAUCAGGUACAUAUUGUCCGUCACUCUCUUUUAGAGAUAAGUCGUAACAAAGUAGGA
RNAcentral lists this ribosomal RNA (460 nucleotides) under Cyclops kikuchii. RNAcentral describes it as "partial 12S ribosomal RNA". The record is from RNAcentral. Lineage: Eukaryota; Metazoa; Arthropoda; Copepoda; Cyclopoida; Cyclopidae.